This 253-nucleotide ribosomal RNA is filed under the name uncultured bacterium. RNAcentral's name for it is "partial 16S ribosomal RNA". It matches the Rfam family "Bacterial small subunit ribosomal RNA", at positions 524 to 776 of the family's 1533-position model. The record is from RNAcentral.
UACGUAGGCAGCAAGCGUUGUUCGGAGUUACUGGGCGUAAAGAGUGCGUAGGCGGUCCUGUAAGUUUGGUGUGAAAUCUCCCGGCUCAACUGGGAGGGUGCGCCGAAGACUGCAGGGCUUGAGUAUGGGAGAGGUAAGCGGAAUUCCUGGUGUAGCAGUGAAAUGCGUAGAUAUCAAGUGGAACACCAGUGGCGAAGGCGAAUCCCUGGAAAAUACCUGACACUGAGGCACGAAAGCUAGGGGAGCAAACAGG